Molecule: long non-coding RNA, 367 nt
Organism: Parus major (Great Tit)
Lineage: Eukaryota; Metazoa; Chordata; Aves; Passeriformes; Paridae
Exons: 3
Source: RefSeq, a predicted model, not a curated record
AGGCCUGAUUUGAGCAUGGAAUUCAAGCUUUCUUUCAGUGGCGAUCUGACUUGCAGCACUCAGGGCACAGUCUAAAGUGCCCCAGGACUAGGAGGAGCAGGAUAGCACUUUACGUGGAGCAUUGCACCCAUCCAGAGCUGGCCUGGGAGUCUCUGCAUCCUGCCAGACUUCAUCCACAACCUGGAUAGAGCACCUGCAGGACUUGCUUUAGUGGAAUACAUCUUCAUGGAACAACAAUAUGAAAGAUGUGAAGGACUUCCCACGUGGCUGGCAAUCUGAAGGGAAGAGACACAGAAGAUACUGCACCCCCUGUACAGUUUAGGUGACCUUCUUUAAAGUCUGCUGAUGAAAAGUGCUAAAUGUUAAG